ACUGUAAUAAAUUUUACUAACAAUAAAAUAUUUAAAAAAAAAUGAUUUUAUUUUAAAUACAAAAAUCGAAUAUGACACUAAUAUAAUACAUGGAAUACAACAAAAAUUGUAUUUAAAAUAAUAUUAGAAAUUACAUUAGAAAUGCCAUUGUAAAAACAAUAUUAAAUUAAAGAUUUUAAUAUUUUAGGAAAAAUAGAAAUUUACUCAAGGCAAACACGGUGAGACAUCCUGUGCACACAUGGGAAGUGUAUUAUAACAUAUUUUAUAAACGAUGGAUUUUAUUAUACAUUGUGGAAUAUUAUUAUAUUAUUAUCACAAUAUUUAUGUCGUGGAAAAUAUAUAGUAUAUACCGUUCACGAGGUGCAUAAUUAUUAUGUAUAAUUAUGUCAUACGAAAAACCCGAGGAUACACAUAAAUAAUUAAGAACGUGCUGAAGACUGAAGUAGGAGUCUAAAUAUUAUCAAGGUAUGUAAAAUGCUGCUGCAGAACUUUCUGGCCUGAGACGCUGAUAUUGAACAUUUGAUACCUAAAUAUAAAUAUUUAUAAGAUUACUUUGUUUAAAUCAAGAAGCAGGGCGUUUAUUAUUUAUUACCAUUUUUUUGUUAACG
Molecule: long non-coding RNA, 608 nt
Organism: Aphis gossypii (cotton aphid)
Lineage: Eukaryota; Metazoa; Arthropoda; Insecta; Hemiptera; Aphididae
Exons: 3
Source: RefSeq, a predicted model, not a curated record